Long non-coding RNA from Gambusia affinis (western mosquitofish), 262 nucleotides. RefSeq lists it as uncharacterized. The transcript has 3 exons. Lineage: Eukaryota; Metazoa; Chordata; Actinopteri; Cyprinodontiformes; Poeciliidae. The record is from RefSeq and is a predicted model, not a curated record.
GGCCUGCGGCCCUCGAGGACUGGAGUUUGAGACCCCUGAACCACGCAGAGGACACGUCUGCAGCACCCACAUUGGAUUUUCAGCCCACGCUCAUUUGUGACGUUUAAACCCAGAAGAAUCCUGUGUUCCGCUCUCCCCCCUCCUGAAGCGGACCGGAACAACUCUGAUCCUCCGCAGGUGUUUCCCAUUGACCUCAACAAGCCGCCAUAUUUUACAUCCACAAACCGGAGACACAAACAUUAUCUGCAGACCGGGACCGGAC